This is an RNA transcript of Dermacentor andersoni, 2269 nucleotides long. It is a transcript of the gene named eukaryotic translation initiation factor 2-alpha kinase 1-like, with no coding region annotated. Lineage: Eukaryota; Metazoa; Arthropoda; Arachnida; Ixodida; Ixodidae. The record is from RefSeq and is a predicted model, not a curated record.
CUCAAAUGAACGUCUCGUCAGCUUCGGCGGAUCAUACCAUUCAUUGCACAAACAAUGUUCCGAUGUGCCGUACUGUGGUUCAUGUGAUGUCACGGAUGUCACUGCGUGUGCCUCAGCCAACUGAAGAGCAGGCGGUUAUUGUGGCCUGUUUCAAGCUUGGCGCCCAUCACAUCACACAUUCGUCGUUCUUCAGACGACAAGACAGCGAUUCGUGAUCGUUCCAUGUUGAACCAUGGAUCCUCCUAUUCCGAAACUAUCACUAUGCACUUUGACAGCUCUGGACGUCCCAGACAUCGGUCGACCACAUCAGCUGGUGAGGCAGGACUCAUUUGGCCUGGUUCCACGUGGACAGAUUCCGUACUACCUUUUGUUAGAGUCUGUCUUGGAGCAGCUCUGCAGUUUUUAUGAAAGUGAUGAUUCUCUUCGCAAAGAAUUAUUUGAAGGAGUACGAAGGCGACUUCAUCAACUUAAGUUCUUAGAUCCCACUCCAGACCUGCAGGAGUUGUGCUCCCUUAGGGUGAAAUUUCGGCGUUCAUUCAGUUAUUUGAUUCAGAAUGUCAGAAGAGACCUUCGUGGGCAGCUCAGUGACAGCUUGGUUUGCUUGCCUGGGCCACAGCUUGACCUCGCACUUCACCGUGAUGAUGAAGUUGUAUGUCACCAAAAACGUUACAAAUAUGACUUUGAAGAAAUUGAAGAAAUCGCUCAAGGAGGAUUUGGAAUUGUGUGUAAGGCAGUAAGAAGAACAGACCGCCAGGUUUAUGCUGUGAAGAAGAUCCCCUUCAAGUAUGUCAAUCUGAAGUUCCUAAAGCAGGUAUUAAGAGAAGUGGAGCUUUUGGCUCAGCUUUCUCACUCUAAUAUUGUGGCCUACAAGUCAGCAUGGAUUGAAAACAUGACAGAUUUUAGGACGAAGUCAUGUGCAGCCACUGUUGACAGCUCUCAAAGUACAGUUCUUAUCUCUUCUGGUGCUGGCGACAACACAAGCUCACUGCCAUAUGUUGUUGAGUCGUCCACAUCUCUCGACACAGUGCCAGCAGCACAUUUGAAGCAGCUUUCUUAUAGCACUGUUGUUGAGACAAACGACGUUGAAAAGUUUGAUCACUGGGAAACUGGGCACUGCGUUUCACUGGAAGAGCCAAGCAAAGCGACGCUGGACUUCGUUUGUGGUAGGGCUUCUGCAGAGGGAUGGAAGUGUUCACGCCAGAGCUCAAAGAGUGAUAGCGAGCUCAGAAAAGAUGCCGAUGGACAAAACAUAAAUGGAAGAAAGACUUCAAGUGAUGUUGCGACCUCCCCAGUCGUGGCCACUCCCCGAGAGCAUAUUUUCAGACUUCUUAAUUCUUCUGAUGUUGGAGGCAUGCUGUACAUUCAAAUGGAGCUAUGCUCCAAAAACCUCGCUGACUGGUUGGCCGCACGUAAUCAGCGGCUAGCUGAAGAAGAGUCAGCUAAGAGUAGCAUCAGCAUCAUUCCACCAGCAAUGCGCACCUUCAAGCAAAUAUUGAAAGGGGUGGAGUAUAUGCAUUCCAAAGGAUUCAUCCAUAGAGAUAUUAAGCCCCAAAACAUCCUGUUUAAUUUGGAAGGUACGUCGGUGAAGCUCGGAGACUUUGGCCUUGCCACUCGCAGUAACCAGCAGGAGCCGUUAUCUCGUCAGUUUCCAUGGGCACCUCACACGGGUCAUACACAAGGUGUAGGCACCAGCCUGUAUGCUGCACCGGAGCAGUGUGAACAAGCCUCUUAUGACAGCAAGGUGGACAUAUACAGCUUGGGUGUAGUGCUGACUGAGCUACUGUGCCCCUUCUUCACAGUCCAUGAGCGCCUCACAGAGCUCACAAAACUCCGUAAUGGCAGUCUGCCAUCAGCACUAAAGGAAUAUUCACAGGACAUGGCGAUAGCCAUUUCGGCAAUGUGCCACAGUGAUCCUAAAGAAAGACCAAGUGCAAAAGAACUCUUGAUUUCACCACUUUUCAUUGCUAAAGACAAGGUCCCUCUUUGUUGGAGGAUAAAAUGUUGGGGCUCUUGACAGUUGGAGUUAAGCAGGAGCUUUUUGCUGCCUUCUGCCAUGACUCUCUUGCUGUGCCUUUGGAGGGCAUGAAUUGCUUGCAGAGACUCAUAAGGCUUGCCAGUUGGAAAGAUCUCCAAAUGCUCCAAGUAACUCCAGCCUUGGUACCACAACUUUAUUAUGAAACGAUCAUCAAGGACUUAAGAGAUGAGCUGAAAGAAAAAGACAGACAGAUAUCCUGCAUGGCAAAUCAGUUGUCUCUCUUGAAAAGUGAAU